This 421-nucleotide ribosomal RNA is filed under the name uncultured bacterium. RNAcentral describes it as "bacterial SSU rRNA". It matches the Rfam family "Bacterial small subunit ribosomal RNA", at positions 355 to 774 of the family's 1533-position model. The record is from RNAcentral.
UAAGGAAUAUUGGUCAAUGGACGCAAGUCUGAACCAGCCAUGCCGCGUGAAGGAUGAAGGUCCUCUGGAUUGUAAACUUCUUUUAUCUGGGACGAAAACGGGAUUUUUAUCUCAAUUGACGGUACCAGAGGAAUAAGCACCGGCUAACUCCGUGCCAGCAGCCGCGGUAAUACGGAGGGUGCGAGCGUUAUCCGGAUUUACUGGGUUUAAAGGGUGCGCAGGCGGUUUUGUAAGACGGAUGUGAAAUCCCCGGGCUUAACCUGGGAACUGCAUUCGUGACUGCAAGGCUAGAGUAUGGCAGAGGGGGGUAGAAUUCCACGUGUAGCAGUGAAAUGCGUAGAGAUGUGGAGGAAUACCGAUGGCGAAGGCAGCCCCCUGGGCCAAUACUGACGCUCAUGCACGAAAGCGUGGGGAGCAAACA